AGGAUGAACGCUGGCGGCGUGCCUAAUACAUGCAAGUCGAACGCGGGCACUUGUGCCCGAGUGGCGAACGGGUGAGUAAUACAUAAGUAACCUGGCCUUUACAGGGGGAUAACUGCUGGAAACGGCAGCUAAGACCGCAUAGGUAGGGACACUGCAUGGUGACCGUAUUAAAAGUGCUGCAAGGCACUGGUAGAGGAUGGACUUAUGGCGCAUUAGCUGGUUGGUGAGGUAACGGCUCACCAAGGCGACGAUGCGUAGCCGACCUGAGAGGGUGACCGGCCACACUGGGACUGAGACACGGCCCAGACUCCUACGGGAGGCAGCAGUAGGGAAUUUUCGGCAAUGGGGGGAACCCUGACCGAGCAACGCCGCGUGAAGGAAGAAGGAAUUCGUUCUGUAAACUUCUGUUAUAAAGGAAGAAAGACGGAUGGAGGAAAUGACAUCCGAGUGACGGUACUUUAUGAGAAAGCCACGGCUAACUACGUGCCAGCAGCCGCGGUAAUACGU
Molecule: ribosomal RNA, 507 nt
Filed under: uncultured bacterium
Lineage: Bacteria
Description: bacterial SSU rRNA
Rfam family: Bacterial small subunit ribosomal RNA
Source: RNAcentral